This 85-nucleotide transfer RNA is filed under the name Chlorococcum tatrense. RNAcentral describes it as "tRNA-Leu". It matches the Rfam family "tRNA". Rfam says of the family: Transfer RNA (tRNA) molecules are approximately 80 nucleotides in length. Their secondary structure includes four short double-helical elements and three loops (D, anti-codon, and T loops). Further hydrogen bonds mediate the characteristic L-shaped molecular structure. tRNAs have two regions of fundamental functional importance: the anti-codon, which is responsible for specific mRNA codon recognition, and the 3' end, to which the tRNAs corresponding amino acid is attached (by aminoacyl-tRNA synthetases). tRNAs cope with the degeneracy of the genetic code in two manners: having more than one tRNA (with a specific anti-codon) for a particular amino acid; and 'wobble' base-pairing, i.e. permitting non-standard base-pairing at the 3rd anti-codon position. Lineage: Eukaryota; Viridiplantae; Chlorophyta; Chlorophyceae; Chlamydomonadales; Chlorococcaceae. The record is from RNAcentral.
GGGGAUAUGGCGGAAUGGUAGACGCUACGGACUUAAAAUCCGUUGAUUUGCAAAAAUCGUGGGGGUUCAAGUCCCCCUUUCCCCA